RNAcentral lists this ribosomal RNA (552 nucleotides) under Rhinopithecus roxellana (golden snub-nosed monkey). RNAcentral's name for it is "partial large subunit ribosomal RNA". It matches the Rfam family "Bacterial large subunit ribosomal RNA", at positions 1816 to 2597 of the family's 2925-position model. Lineage: Eukaryota; Metazoa; Chordata; Mammalia; Primates; Cercopithecidae. The record is from RNAcentral.
CACCUCUAGCAUUAUCAGUAUUAGAGGCACCGCUUGCCCAGUGACACAUGUUUAACGACUGCAGUAUCCUGACCAUGCAAAGGUAGCAUAAUCACUUGUUCUUUAAAUGGGGACUUGCAUGAAUGGCACCAUGAGGGUUCAAUUGUCUCUUACUUUCAACCAGUGAAAUUGACCUGCCUGUGAAGAGGCGGACAUAAGACAAUAAGACGAGAAGACCCUGUGGAGCUUCAAUCUACUAAUGCAACCAAGAUUAAUACAAACCCACGGGCCUAAUAUAAUCCACCCCUGCAUUAGAAAUUUUGGUUGGGGUGACCUCGGAGCAUAAUUAAACCUCCGAAUUAAAUCACGCCAAGACUACACAAGUCAAAGCAACUUAAUAUUUAUAAUUGAUCCAAUAACUUGACCAACGGAACAAGUUACCCCAGGGAUAACAGCGCAAUCCUAUUCCAGAGUCCAUAUCGACAAUAGGGUUUACGACCUCGAUGUUGGAUCAGGACAUCCUAAUGGUGCAGCAGCUAUCAAGGGUUCGUUUGUUCAACGAUUAAUAGUCCU